This 697-nucleotide long non-coding RNA is filed under the name Ursus maritimus (polar bear). RNAcentral describes it as "lncRNA (ENSUMAG00000024323.1)". Lineage: Eukaryota; Metazoa; Chordata; Mammalia; Carnivora; Ursidae. The record is from RNAcentral.
CUCUCCCCCUCACCCCUCCCCCAUUUCAUCCCCACCCCACUGGCCGACUUCUCAGGCUCCUCCUCCCAGGGAAUAAAAUUACAAGUCUCUCCAGCUUUCAGAUGAUGGAUCCCCAGGAACCCCUGGGAGUGGGCUCCACAAAGGAGUCCCCUUCCUCGCCCUUGCCUUGCUGUCCCCCAGCUGGGGCCCUUGGAGGAAGCAGAUGUCGUUGCCCACUUCGGACUAGGCUGGUAUGAAGCCAGAAGACCUGGAGCACUUUGGGGGGCUGGGGCUGGAGCUGGCCUUCCAGGCCCCUGGUCUUCUGCGCCUGCGUUGCCCCCAGGGAGAAGUCAGAGCAAAUUCCAUUCCCUUUGGAGCCGUGCCUCUGGGGACUGUGGGCACAGCUGGAACCUUUAUGCUGAGCCUUCACACCCUCUCUUUUCCGCUGGAACCUCUCUGAGCCCUUACCCCGGGGCAACAUGCUUGAGCUCCUCACCCCGGCCUCCACACCUGAGCCAGCCGGUCAGGCCUCCCAACAGAACCCUGCGCCUGACGACCUGCAGCUUCUCCUUCAGUCGGGAUUCUUCCAUGGCAGGAAACCACACAGCCGACAGCAGCUGAGGUCUUACAUCACACGGGCUUAGUGGUAUGGGAGGAACAGAGAUAACCUUUUCCCUGCUUCUGUAUGGCUAAAUCCCAAAGAACGGCUCUGAUUGGC